AAGUAUCUCCGAGUCCCGUUACGGAUGGCGAUGAUAGGAGUAACAGCGGUUGGUAUAGUCAUCGACGCACCUGUUUGAUUUAGAGAGUGAUUGCUUCACACCACGAGAACAGGCUACGCUGUAAACCACAAUAUCCCCACAUUGGGGAAUUCCCGCCCUUCGGGGUGGGAG
RNAcentral lists this non-coding RNA (171 nucleotides) under Halogeometricum borinquense DSM 11551. RNAcentral describes it as "Sense overlapping transcript RNA 0042 (sot)". It matches the Rfam family "Sense overlapping transcript RNA 0042 (sot)". From Rfam's summary of the family: It is associated with IS1341-type transposase (tnpB) genes, at the 3'-end in H. salinarum NRC-1. The tetraloop structural motif may be functional. Lineage: Archaea; Methanobacteriati; Methanobacteriota; Halobacteria; Halobacteriales; Haloferacaceae. The record is from Rfam by way of RNAcentral.